RNAcentral lists this ribosomal RNA (467 nucleotides) under uncultured bacterium. RNAcentral's name for it is "partial 16S ribosomal RNA". It matches the Rfam family "Bacterial small subunit ribosomal RNA", at positions 28 to 507 of the family's 1533-position model. The record is from RNAcentral.
GACGAACGCUGGCGGCGUGCUUAACACAUGCGAGUCGAACGGAAAGGCCUCUUUCGGGGGGUACUCGAGUGGCGAACGGGUGAGUAACACGUGAGUAACCUGCCCUUGACUUUGGGAUAACUUCAGGAAACUGGGGCUAAUACCGGAUAGGAGCUCCUGCUGCAUGCUGUGGGUUGGAAAGUUUCGGCGGUUGGGGAUGGACUCGCGGCUUAUCAGCUUGUUGGUGGGGUAGUGGCUUACCAAGGCUUUGACGGGUAGCCGGCCUGAGAGGGUGACCGGCCACAGUGGGACUGAGAUACGGCCCCGACUCCUACGGGAGGCAGCAGUGGGGAAUAUUGCACCAUGGGUGGAGGCCUGAUGCAGCAACGCCGUGUGCGGGAUGACGGGCUUCGGGUUGUAAACCGUAUUCGCUCAUGAAGAAACUGUGUGUGACGGUAGUGGGUAAAGAAGCACCGGCUAAAUACGUG